Molecule: non-coding RNA, 210 nt
Organism: Pelobates cultripes (western spadefoot toad)
Lineage: Eukaryota; Metazoa; Chordata; Amphibia; Anura; Pelobatidae
Source: the annotation of a GenBank genome assembly
GGGUGACUAGUGACAGAGUGAGAGAGAGGGUGACUAGUGACAGAGUGAGGAAGGGGGUGACACAGUGACAGAGUGAGGGAGGGGGUGACUGUCACUAGUCACACCCUUCCCUCCCUCACUCUGUCACUAGUCACCACCUCCCUCUGUCACUACUCCCUCCCUCCUUCUGUCACUAGUCACCCCCUCCCUCACUGUGUCACUAGUCACCCC